Molecule: ribosomal RNA, 483 nt
Filed under: uncultured bacterium
Lineage: Bacteria
Description: partial 16S ribosomal RNA
Rfam family: Bacterial small subunit ribosomal RNA
Source: RNAcentral
UUGGACGCUGGCGGCAGGCCUAACCCAUGCAAGUCGAGCGGAUGAAGGGAGCUUGCUCCUGGAUUCAGCGGCGGACGGGUGAGUAAUGCCUAGGAAUCUGCCUGGUAGUGGGGGAUAACGUCCGGAAACGGGCGCUAAUACCGCAUACGUCCUGAGGGAGAAAGUGGGGGAUCUUCGGACCUCACGCUAUCAGAUGAGCCUAGGUCGGAUUAGCUAGUUGGUGGGGUAAAGGCCUACCAAGGCGACGAUCCGUAACUGGUCUGAGAGGAUGAUCAGUCACACUGGAACUGAGACACGGUCCAGACUCCUACGGGAGGCAGCAGUGGGGAAUAUUGGACAAUGGGCGAAAGCCUGAUCCAGCCAUGCCGCGUGUGUGAAGAAGGUCUUCGGAUUGUAAAGCACUUUAAGUUGGGAGGAAGGGCAGUAAGUUAAUACCUUGCUGUUUUGACGUUACCAACAGAAUAAGCACCGGCUAACUUCGUG